Molecule: ribosomal RNA, 650 nt
Filed under: Leifsonia xyli
Lineage: Bacteria; Bacillati; Actinomycetota; Actinomycetes; Micrococcales; Microbacteriaceae
Description: bacterial SSU rRNA
Rfam family: Bacterial small subunit ribosomal RNA
Source: RNAcentral
CAGUCGAACGAUGACCAGGAGCUUGCUCUUGGGGAUUAGUGGCGAACGGGUGAGUAACACGUGAGUAACCUGCCCUUGACUCUGGGAUAACCUCCGGAAACGGAAGCUAAUACCGGAUACGACCCGCGGAGGCAUCUCCAGCGGGUGGAAAGAACUUCGGUCAAGGAUGGACUCGCGGCCUAUCAGGUAGUUGGUGAGGUAAAGGCUCACCAAGCCUACGACGGGUAGCCGGCCUGACAAGGUGACCGGCCACUCUGGGACUGAGACACGGCCCAGACUCCUACGGGAGGCAGCAGUGGGGAAUAUUGCACAAUGGGCGAAAGCCUGAUGCAGCAACGCCGCGUGAGGGACGACGGCCUUCGGGUUGUAAACCUCUUUUAGUAGGGAAGAAGCGAAAGUGACGGUACCUGCAAAAAAAGCACCGGCUAACUACGUGCCAGCAGCCGCGGUAAUACGUAGGGUGCGAGCGUUGUCCGGAAUUAUUGGGCGUAAAGAGCUCGUAGGCGGUCUGUCGCGUCUGCUGUGAAAACCCGAGGCUCAACCUCGGGCCUGCAGUGGGUACGGGCAGACUAGAGUGCGGUAGGGGAGAAUGGAAUUCCUGGUGUAGCGGUGGAAUGCGCAGAUAUCACGAGGAACACCGAUGGCGAAGG